ACGGGAGGCAGCAGUGGGGAAUAUUGGGCAAUGGGCGAAAGCCUGACCCAGCAACGCCGCGUGAGUGAAGAAGGCCCUCGGGUUGUAAAACUCUUUUACCAGGGACGAAACAAAUGACGGUACCUGGAGAAAAAGCAACGGCUAACUACGUGCCAGCAGCCGCGGUAAUACGCAGGUUGCAAGCGUUGUCCGGAUUUACUGGGUGUAAAGGGCGUGUAGGCGGAGAUGCAAGUCAGAUGUGAAAUCCCGGGGCUCAACCCCGGAACUGCAUUUGAAACUGUAUCCCUUGAGUAUCGGAGAGGCUAGCGGAAUUCCUAGUGUAGCGGUGAAAUGCGUAGAUAUUAGGAGGAACACCAGUGGCGAAGGCGGCUUGCUGGACGACAACUGACGCUGAGGCGCGAAAGCGUGGGGAGCAAACAGGAUUCGAUACCCUGGUA
RNAcentral lists this ribosomal RNA (437 nucleotides) under uncultured Oscillospiraceae bacterium. Its description in RNAcentral is "partial 16S ribosomal RNA". It matches the Rfam family "Bacterial small subunit ribosomal RNA", at positions 341 to 792 of the family's 1533-position model. The record is from RNAcentral. Lineage: Bacteria; Bacillati; Bacillota; Clostridia; Eubacteriales; Oscillospiraceae.